Molecule: long non-coding RNA, 1570 nt
Filed under: Mus musculus (house mouse)
Lineage: Eukaryota; Metazoa; Chordata; Mammalia; Rodentia; Muridae
Description: long non-coding RNA chr15:66646398-66647968
Source: RNAcentral
GUUUGGAUUCUGCCUUUUUAAAUCCUACAUACAGUAUGUAAUUUCCAAGUUGUAAAUAUUAACAUUAUAUCUAAUCACAUAGAACAUUUUAAAAUGCAUGUGGUUGAAUCUGAUGCAUCAUGGUUGUUUUGUUGUUUACCAACAUUUUUUUAAAGGACAUAGGCAGAAUUUUGAAGUAACAUGACAAACUAGAAGCUUCCUACAUGUCUCCUUAUAAAUAAGUCAGAAUAAGGAGAAAUGGAUGCUAUCCAAUAGAGAACCAUGGAAAUCCAUGUAAUGAUAGAUGAGUUAAAAGCCUGUAGGAAAAGGUGGAGCAUGCUGAAAAGUAUUUAGCAGCAGCACAGCUUCCUGAUAAGGAGACGGAAAGCAGAAGUUUCAUUUUCUUAGGUACUUUUAUAUAUCCCGUGUCUUAAUUAAAAAAAAUUUUAAGGUCAAAAUGAGUAUUGCCCUAAAAUUUAAAGAUCUCAAAUCUUACAAUUUUAAGUUUACCUUGUUAAAAAAAAAUUAAUAAUCAUUGUUAAUUAAAUUGGAUUUUUGUUAUUGUUGAUUUUAUACUUGCCUUUGGUCUGCUAAAUUAUCAGUCACUGGAAUUGGAGGUGAUUAAAGAAAGCUCACAAAAACCUAAAAAAAAAAAAAAAAAAAAAAGUAAGGCAGGUGGCACUAAUGAAGAGAUGACCUAUCCUAUGGACAGUUUAUAGCUCUUACAAACUUUUAAAUCGAGUUGCAGAUUUUGGGAAGAUGGCAAAUGCUCUUGUAGUCAGAUCAGCAGCCAAAAGGAAUCACAUUCUAUCAUCCUGAGUGCCAUCUUGAGAACUUGUUUAAAACUAAGCUAUUUUUGGUAUCUGUAAAUUGGGACAAUAGCUGGUCAGCCUGAAUUUGACUUGUAACAUCCCAUAGGUAAAGAACAACCUUAGGAGGCCUUGUGGAGAGUGCUAGAAAGCUGAAAAGCAUAGGUUGGCAGGAAGGUCUGACCAGACAGUGAACUAUACAGGGAAAGAUAGCCCCACCGUUGAUGGUGGGGAGCAAAUAACCCUAGAGGUUAAUAAUCCUGAGUCUGAGAUUAUUGGAAAUCAACCUUUGGAACCAGCUUUUUCCCUUCACUGUUGAAGACUUGAGAAUUUUGAAGAUCCAGAGGGUCAUGUCUGGAUGACCAACUGAAGGAUUUCCAACUCAAGCCUCUGCCUCAUGUAAAGAUCUUUCACAAUGCUUGUCAUCCACAUACACUUUGCAAUGGGUUGAACAGAAUGUAGAGACUUGUAAAAUACAAACAGAGACCUGGACCUAUAGAAAUCUCUACUGUGGUAGCUUCCCUCGUGCACAAAUAAAGGAAGCUACUUAACUGGACAUGGCUCUGGUAGACUUCAGAUGGUUGUAAAGUACAGACUGAACAAUUUCAACUGGCCUUUCCUUGACUUGUGCAUCAAACACAGUCUUAAGUACUAGAGACCUUAGAAACAACUGUAAUAAUUCAUUUUUUCUUUUGCCCCACCCCCUUUUAUCAGCCUUUACUGUAUUAAAAAGAAAAUCUUGUUUCUAUUUUUAUCUCCUUUAAUAAAUUUUCCUAAUUUUG